AAUCAGAGUCCACAUAUGUUCGGGGGAGGGACCCCAGAAGGCGGCUGACAGUAUUCCUUUAGCCAGAAAUCCCUUCAGGGAAGAGAAAGGUGCUCCCCUUUGCCUGCUUUUAUACUACAGACUGUUUCCAACUCCAGCUAGAAGUGACUAUUGCCGAUUAUGCUAAUCAGUGGCGACAAGCUCCCUUUGACUGCUCACUUCUCCAGUGAGGCUUCAAGCUUCUAGGCAUCAAGAUUAGUAAGGCUGUCUUCUGGGUGGGCCAGUUUGUUUCUCAGUGACACGAAAACAUUGCCUGGGGUGUGCACUGGUAUUUUCCAGAAAAUAUUUCAAGCAGAAUAUACUUAUUUUCCAGUUUUGAAAACAACUAGAUUGCCCAUCUCCAUUUCUCUCUAUCAUCUACUGUAUUAUUCUAUGGACAACUGCCACCCUAAUAAGCAAUUGUCAGCAUCUUUGCCACAUGUUUGGAGGCCUGAUAUCAGUUUGUCACCAUGUACUGUAUUUUUCCUGUCUGGUUGGGAGCAGAGAGCAGGUGCUUGGAAAUCCUGCUCUCAUCCAUUCUCCACACAUGACUGGUCUAUGUUCAGCUGAAUUAUGGUGAAUAUCACUUGAGAACUGCUGUAGUAACUGCACUUCAAGACCUGCCUGUAAUCUUGCCCUGCUAUUUGAUAUUCAUUCAGCAAAGCACAUAAAUGAAAUUAUUAAAACUAUUUAAGGACUCA
Molecule: long non-coding RNA, 719 nt
Filed under: Homo sapiens (human)
Lineage: Eukaryota; Metazoa; Chordata; Mammalia; Primates; Hominidae
Description: MIR4307 host gene
Source: RNAcentral